GACGAACGCUGGCGGCGUGGAUUAGGCAUGCAAGUCGAACGGUAUCAUCCUUUCGGGGGUGAGAGAGUGGCGAACUGGUGAGUAACACGUAGGUUAUCUACCCUCAAGACGGGGACAACCCAGGGAAACUUGGGCUAAUACCGGAUGUGAGCAACUUUUAGUUGUUUGAAAGGUGGCGUAAGCUGUCGCUUGGGGAUGAGCCUGCGUCCUAUUAGUUAGUUGGUGAGGUAACGGCUCACCUAGGCAAUGAUAGGUAGGCGGCCUUAACGGGUGGUCGCCCACACUGGGAUUGAGAUACGGCCCAGACUCCUACGGGAGGCAGCAGUCGAGAAUAGUCUACAAUGGUCGGAAGACUGAUAGUGCGACGCCGCGUGAACGAUGAAUCCCUUCGGGGUGUAAAGUUCUUUUAUAUGUGAGCAGUGCUUCUUAUAUUAACAGUAUGGGGAGAGAGAUAUUAGCAUUAUGAAUAAGCAACGGCUAACUCCGUGCCAGCAGCCGCGGU
This 502-nucleotide ribosomal RNA is filed under the name uncultured bacterium. RNAcentral describes it as "bacterial SSU rRNA". It matches the Rfam family "Bacterial small subunit ribosomal RNA", at positions 28 to 521 of the family's 1533-position model. The record is from RNAcentral.